CCUACGGGAGGCAGCAGUGGGGAAUCUUGCGCAAUGGGCGAAAGCCUGACGCAGCCAUGCCGCGUGAAUGAUGAAGGUCUUAGGAUUGUAAAAUUCUUUCACCGGGGACGAUAAUGACGGUACCCGGAGAAGAAGCCCCGGCUAACUUCGUGCCAGCAGCCGCGGUAAUACGAAGGGGGCUAGCGUUGCUCGGAAUUACUGGGCGUAAAGGGAGCGUAGGCGGAUAGUUUAGUCAGAGGUGAAAGCCCAGGGCUCAACCUUGGAAUUGCCUUUGAUACUGGCUAUCUUGAGUAUGGGAGAGGUAUGCGGAACUCCGAGUGUAGAGGUGAAAUUCGUAGAUAUUCGGAAGAACACCAGUGGCGAAGGCGGCAUACUGGCCCAUUACUGACGCUGAGGCUCGAAAGCGUGGGGAGCAAACAGGAUUAGAUACCCUGGUAGUCCACGCUGUAAACGAUGAGUGCUAGUUGUCGGCAUGNAUGCAUGUCGGUGACGCAGCGUACGACAUAAGACACUCCGCCGUCGGGUAGGUACGGUCGACGAGAAGUUAAACGUAACGAAGUAGUAAGUUAGUACGGCGUGAGACGUACGACCGACGGACGACGACGAGGGAGGAGG
This 615-nucleotide ribosomal RNA is filed under the name uncultured bacterium. Its description in RNAcentral is "bacterial SSU rRNA". The stretch from base 1 to 518 matches the Rfam family "Bacterial small subunit ribosomal RNA", at positions 338 to 873 of the family's 1533-position model. The record is from RNAcentral.